This 468-nucleotide ribosomal RNA is filed under the name uncultured bacterium. RNAcentral describes it as "partial 16S ribosomal RNA". It matches the Rfam family "Bacterial small subunit ribosomal RNA", at positions 28 to 507 of the family's 1533-position model. The record is from RNAcentral.
GACGAACGCUGGCGGCGUGCUUAACACAUGCAAGUCGAACGGAAAGGCCCUGCUUUUGUGGGGUGCUCGAGUGGCGAAAGGGUGAGUAAAACGUGAGUAACCUGCCCUUGACUUUGGGAUAACUUCAGGAAACUGGGGCUAAUACCGGAUAGGAGCUCCUGCUGCAUGGUGGGGGUUGGAAAGUUUCGGCGGUUGGGGAUGGACUCGCGGCUUAUCAGCUUGUUGGUGUGGUAGUGGCUUACCAAGGCUUUGACGGGUAGCCGGCCUGAGAGGGUGACCGGCCACAUUGGGACUGAGAUACGGCCCAGACUCCUACGGGAGGCAGCAGUGGGGAAUAUUGCACAAUGGGCGGAAGCCUGAUGCAGCAACGCCGCGUGCGGGAUGACGGCCUUCGGGUUGUAAACCGCUUUCGCCUGUGACGAAGCGUGAGUGACGGUAAUGGGUAAAGAAGCACCGGCUAACUACGUG